AUUAAACGUUCUUGAGAAAUUUUUUCAGGAUCCGCCAAAUAUCCCCUUGUUGCAGCACUCGAAUAAUAUUCUAAACAAUCUGCAGGUGGUAAUAAUCUACGUGGUAUUGGAUCGCCUAUAAAUUAACUAUAUAGCCAUAAAAAGAAAAAGAAAAUUAAACAAUCAAAAACAACUAUACCUCUGCGAAGGAACUUUUCAGUAUCGUUUAAAGCGAAUAAACAAUUUGGAUCAUAAUAAGCCGUAGUGAUAAUGCCGCCAUUUCUUUCAAUUGCUGCAAUCACAGGUUCGCUAGCCCACUGCACUUCUAUGUUAACUUUUGCCUUGAAUAUAUUUGAGCCCUUAAAAAAGUACGCUUUUUAAUAUUUCUCUCCUUCGAACAGUAAUAAUUUUUCUGAACACGUUAAAUUAGUUACUAGUGACUGGCAGUAUACUUUCUAUUCAGGCCAUGUAAGUAAAAGAGACUCUGUGCUCUUAACAUGUUAAUAUAAUAAAUUUGAUUACCUCAUCCGUUAAAUGUA
Molecule: long non-coding RNA, 518 nt
Filed under: Polistes fuscatus (common paper wasp)
Lineage: Eukaryota; Metazoa; Arthropoda; Insecta; Hymenoptera; Vespidae
Description: uncharacterized LOC122526722
Source: RNAcentral